CCUACGGGAGGCAGCAGUAGGGAAUAUUGCUCAAUGGGGGAAACCCCGAAGCAGCAACGCCGCGUGGAGGAUGAAGGUUUUCGGAUUGUUAACUCCUUUUGUUAGAGAAGAUAAUGACGGUAUCUAACGAAUAAGCACCGGCUAACUCCGUGCCAGCAGCCGCUGUAAUACGGAGGGUGCAAGCGUUACUCGGAAUCACUGGGCGUAAAGAGCGCGUAGGUGGGAUAGCAAGUCAGAUGUGAAAUCCUAUGGCUUAACCAUAGAACUGCAUUUGAAACUGUUAUUCUAGAGUAUGGGAGAGGUAGGUGGAAUUCUUGGUGUAGGGGUAAAAUCCGUAGAGAUCAAGAGGAAUACUCAUUGCGAAGGCGACCUGCUAGAACAUAACUGACGCUGAUGCGCGAAAGCGUGGGGAGCAAACAGGAUUAGAUACCCCUGUAGUC
This 440-nucleotide ribosomal RNA is filed under the name uncultured bacterium. Its description in RNAcentral is "partial 16S ribosomal RNA". It matches the Rfam family "Bacterial small subunit ribosomal RNA", at positions 338 to 795 of the family's 1533-position model. The record is from RNAcentral.